Non-coding RNA from Microcebus murinus (gray mouse lemur), 353 nucleotides. NCBI's taxonomy places the organism in Eukaryota, Metazoa, Chordata, Mammalia, Primates, Cheirogaleidae. The record is from RefSeq and is a predicted model, not a curated record.
AGCACCGCCCCCAUGGUGGGGCUGGGGCCGGGAAGAUGCAUCCAUCCCCUGUUGGAAAAGGCUGGAGAGUGCUGGAGCUGAGAGCAUGUGCUGUCGCAUCGGGCCAUCUGGAUCCAGAGAUGCACGCUCGGUGACCAGCAAGUGACACCGGACAACUCAGGGAAGCUCGCCAAGCCUCAGUUUCCUCCUGGAUGAAAUAAGAACGGUGAGAAUCUUGAGACAUCAGGUAUUAAAGGAGAGCAAGUUAUGAUCAAAAUCAAGUCUGAAACCUCUUUCAACUGAUUGCCUCCCCUGUGAGUAACUCAGUAAACAACAUUGCCUAUUUUAAAAAUCAGUGAAUGGAAAUGCUGUGA